GAUAGUGUGGCCGAGUGGUCCAUGGCGCUGGUUUUAGGCACCAGUCUCUUCGGAGGCAAGGGUUCGAAUCCCUUCACUGUCA
RNAcentral lists this transfer RNA (82 nucleotides) under Daphnia pulicaria. RNAcentral describes it as "tRNA-Leu". It matches the Rfam family "tRNA". Rfam says of the family: Transfer RNA (tRNA) molecules are approximately 80 nucleotides in length. The record is from RNAcentral. Lineage: Eukaryota; Metazoa; Arthropoda; Branchiopoda; Diplostraca; Daphniidae.